Molecule: ribosomal RNA, 433 nt
Filed under: uncultured bacterium
Lineage: Bacteria
Description: partial 16S ribosomal RNA
Rfam family: Bacterial small subunit ribosomal RNA
Source: RNAcentral
AACGAACGCUGGCGGCAUGCCUAACACAUGCAAGUCGAACGAGACCUUCGGGUCUAGUGGCGCACGGGUGCGUAACUCGUGGGAACCUGCCCUUAGGUUCGGAAUAACUCCCCGACAGGGGUGCUAAUACCGGAUAAUGUCUUCGGACCAAAGAUUUAUCGCCUUUGGAUGGGCCCGCGUUGGAUUAGCUAGUUGGUAGGGUAAAAGCCUACCAAGGCGACGAUCCAUAGCUGGUCUGAGAGGAUGAUCAGCCACACUGGGACUGAGACACGGCCCAGACUCCUACGGGAGGCAGCAGUGGGGAAUAUUGGACAAUGGGCGAAAGCCUGAUCCAGCAAUGCCGCGUGAGUGAUGAAGGCCUUAGGGUUGUAAAGCUCUUUUACCCGGGAUGAUAAUGACAGUACCGGGAGAAUAAGCUCCGGCUAACUCCGUG